RNAcentral lists this ribosomal RNA (440 nucleotides) under uncultured bacterium. RNAcentral's name for it is "partial 16S ribosomal RNA". It matches the Rfam family "Bacterial small subunit ribosomal RNA", at positions 338 to 795 of the family's 1533-position model. The record is from RNAcentral.
CCUACGGGAGGCAGCAGUAGGGAAUAUUGCUCAAUGGGCGAAACCCUGAAGCAGCAACGCCGCGUGGAGGAUGAAGGUUUUAGGGUUGUUAACUCCUUUUGUGAGAGAAGUUAAUUACGGUAUCUCACGAAUUAGCACCGGCUAACUCCGUUCCAGAAGCCGCGGUAAUACGGAGGGCGCAAGCGUUACUCGGAAUUACUGGGCGUAAAGUGUGCGUAGGUGGGCUUGUAAGACAGGUGUGAAAUCCUGGGGCUUAACCAGAGGACUGCAUUUGAAACUAGGAGUCGAGAGUGUGUGAGAGGUAGGUGGAAUGAUUGGUGUAGCGGUGAAAUGCGUAGAUAUCAGGAGGAACACUAAUGGCGAAGGCGACCUACUGGAACAUUACUGACGCUGAGGCACGAAAGCGUGGGGAGCAAACAGGAUUAGAUACCCCAGUAGUC